ACGGUCCUAAGGUAGCGAAUUCCUUGUCGGUUAAAUACCGACCUGCAUGAAUGGCGUAACGAGAUGGGAGCUGUCUCAAAGAGGGAUCCAGUGAAAUUGUAGUGGAGGUGAAAAUUCCUCCUACCCGCGGCAAGACGGAGAGACCCCGUGGACCUUUACUACAGCUUGACACUGCUAUUUGGAUAAGAAUGUGCAGGAUAGGUGGGAGGCUUUGAGUAUAUGACGCCAGUUGUAUAUGAGCCAUUGUUGAGAUACCACUCUUUCUUAUUUGGGUAGCUAACCAGCUUGAGUUAUCCUCAAGUGGGACAAUGUCUGGUGGGUAGUUUGACUGGGGCGGUCGCCUCCCAAAUAAUAACGGAGGCUUACAAAGGUUGGCUCAGAACGGUUGGAAAUCGUUCGUAGAGUAUAAAGGUAUAAGCCAGCUUAACUGCAAGACAUACAAGUCAAGCAGAGACGAAAGUCGGUCUUAGUGAUCCGGUGUUUCUUGUGUGA
RNAcentral lists this ribosomal RNA (492 nucleotides) under Campylobacter coli. Its description in RNAcentral is "bacterial LSU rRNA". It matches the Rfam family "Bacterial large subunit ribosomal RNA", at positions 1945 to 2436 of the family's 2925-position model. The record is from RNAcentral. Lineage: Bacteria; Pseudomonadati; Campylobacterota; Epsilonproteobacteria; Campylobacterales; Campylobacteraceae.